This is a long non-coding RNA of Saccostrea cuccullata (small rock oyster), 200 nucleotides long. RefSeq lists it as uncharacterized. The record is from RefSeq and is a predicted model, not a curated record. The transcript is spliced from 3 exons. Lineage: Eukaryota; Metazoa; Mollusca; Bivalvia; Ostreida; Ostreidae.
UCAGCACUUAUUUUGAUUAUUUAAUAGUUGCAUGCAGUGGACUGUGCCCGAGACGAUUCCCACUGCGCCGGCGAAUAAUCAGCUUGUAUAAAUGGAAUCUGAAUGCUCACAAGAAGGACAAAAGCAGUAUGAAAAUUAACAAAAAGAAAUUGUGCCAGAAAAGUUUGAAGUGUCUAUGAUAAUGAUCAACAUCGAACUUU